This is a long non-coding RNA of Gavialis gangeticus (Gharial), 92 nucleotides long. RefSeq lists it as uncharacterized. The record is from RefSeq and is a predicted model, not a curated record. NCBI's taxonomy places the organism in Eukaryota, Metazoa, Chordata, Crocodylia, Gavialidae. The transcript has 3 exons.
CACGCAGAACAUGGUCACCAUGGGUGACUUCAAUUACCCAGACAUCUCUUGGGAAGAACACUCAGCUAAGUCAGAUCGCCAUGCUCAGGGGA